Non-coding RNA from Paramuricea clavata, 266 nucleotides. The record is from the annotation of a GenBank genome assembly. Lineage: Eukaryota; Metazoa; Cnidaria; Anthozoa; Malacalcyonacea; Plexauridae.
UAAGUUUAAAGGGGAAGUCAAGUCCGUUCUGCGCAUCGGUUCUGCGCAUAACAAUAGAGGGCCCUCUGAGGUAAACAUUGCCCAAAUUCUGAAUGUUUCGAAUUUUUCUGAACACAAACUCUAUUUCAUAUUCAUGUAGAAGCAUAACGAACCAAAAUGGUGUUAGAUAUUCAGACAGUACAUCAUAUUUUAAAAAAUACAGCAGUUCAAAAUGUAAACAAACCGUUUGUUUACAUUACGGACUUGACUUCCCCUUUAACAAAAGG